AUACUAUCAUUAGUUUUUAUAGUUUAAAAAAAACAUUGGUCUUGUAAAUCAAAAAUAAGUUUAA
RNAcentral lists this transfer RNA (64 nucleotides) under Papilio bianor (Chinese peacock). RNAcentral describes it as "tRNA-Thr". Lineage: Eukaryota; Metazoa; Arthropoda; Insecta; Lepidoptera; Papilionidae. The record is from RNAcentral.